UGGGGAAUAUUGCACAAUGGGCGCAAGCCUGAUGCAGCCAUGCCGCGUGUAUGAAGAAGGCCUUCGGGUUGUAAAGUACUUUCAGCGGGGAGGAAGGGAGUAAAGUUAAUACCUUUGCUCAUUGACGUUACCCGCAGAAGAAGCACCGGCUAACUCCGUGCCAGCAGCCGCGGUAAUACGGAGGGUGCAAGCGUUAAUCGGAAUUACUGGGCGUAAAGUGCACGCAGGCGGUUUGUUAAGUCAGAUGUGAAAUCCCCGGGCUCAACCUGGGAACUGCAUCUGAUACUGGCAAGCUUGAGUCUCGUAGAGGGUGGUAGAAUUCCAGGUGUAGCGAUGAAAUGCGUAGAGAUCUGGAGGAAUACCGGUGGCGAAGGCGGCCCCCUGGACGAAGACUGACGCUCAGGUGCGAAAGCGUGGGGAGCAAACAGG
RNAcentral lists this ribosomal RNA (429 nucleotides) under Chloroflexota bacterium. RNAcentral describes it as "Chloroflexi bacterium partial 16S ribosomal RNA". It matches the Rfam family "Bacterial small subunit ribosomal RNA", at positions 355 to 776 of the family's 1533-position model. The record is from RNAcentral. Lineage: Bacteria; Bacillati; Chloroflexota.